GUGGGUGUAGCUGAGUGGUAGAGUGGUUUGCCUAUCACACAUAAGGCCCUGGGUUCUAUCCCCAGCACACCACA
This 74-nucleotide transfer RNA is filed under the name Marmota monax (woodchuck). It matches the Rfam family "tRNA". Rfam says of the family: Transfer RNA (tRNA) molecules are approximately 80 nucleotides in length. Their secondary structure includes four short double-helical elements and three loops (D, anti-codon, and T loops). Further hydrogen bonds mediate the characteristic L-shaped molecular structure. tRNAs have two regions of fundamental functional importance: the anti-codon, which is responsible for specific mRNA codon recognition, and the 3' end, to which the tRNAs corresponding amino acid is attached (by aminoacyl-tRNA synthetases). tRNAs cope with the degeneracy of the genetic code in two manners: having more than one tRNA (with a specific anti-codon) for a particular amino acid; and 'wobble' base-pairing, i.e. permitting non-standard base-pairing at the 3rd anti-codon position. The record is from Rfam by way of RNAcentral. Lineage: Eukaryota; Metazoa; Chordata; Mammalia; Rodentia; Sciuridae.